CGAUGUCCUCAUCAAUUAAGGCAAUAUUUUGAUCAGGGCAGGAAGCUGCGGAAGCCGCGGCGAAAUCCUACGCGGGAUUAAUUAAUAGUACGCCGUUAAUAAUUUACGCACGCGCGCGCGCGCGCGAUUGUCGAUAAAUUGGAAAGCGCGCACGAGGCACAAUUACACGCUCAAGCGGAACCACUUUAAAUCGUCAGAGCGCGCGUCGAUCGCCAAUACGCGAGGAACAUAGACGAUGCGGAGACGCAUCGUACAUACUGAAAAGUCGAAACGUGAUUAACGUAGGCCUGGCACACGCUCGAUUCCUCGGCGUGCAUGGCCGAUCAGGAAAUCACGAUCGGGAAUACCCGAUGGUGUGCGAAGUGGUUUUCGCCCGUAGCGCCGACGAGAUUAUCGAGCAGAUAUGGAACGAUCGGUGUAGACAGCGAUCUGAAAGAGAGAGGGAGUAUACGUGCGUGGCAGAGUUAUGGAAAAUAAGAAUUUGGCUUUGUUAUGAAAAGUUUAAGGAAAUUUUUAACUUAAGUUGGAAACGUGAGGGCACUUUUCGUGCAAGAGUUGAGGGUAUAAAAAAAUUGCAUCGAUUCUUUCUAACUCGUUGAACCCGCCAUAUCCUUCCCCCCUCGGGAAGGGGACAAUAAUCGAGAGGGUUGGCUCUCGAGAUAUAACGUGGAAGACGGAGGAACGAGGGAUGACAGGAUUCAUAAUUUCACGCGAGCUUAUUGCCCUCGGUUAUUUAUCCUCUCAUUCCACAUGCAGCUCGCGCGGAUUCUCUUCCUCCGUCUUUUCGAGCCCGGGACGACUCACGAUACACCCUCGGCAAUGUCACGACGUAAUUUUCCAACGUCGACACGACCUGGCCCCUCGUGCGUCCUCCUUGCGAUUAUCAAUCGAUUACACCGCUCCUCUGCGCGGAUUAUUGGUAAUUCGCCAGUAAUUACGCGGCCGUGCGAUCGGUGACGGUUCAAUGACCUCGACCUUUAACCCAAAUUUUAAUCUCUCCUCUCGACAUUGAGGAGAAUCUGUUACCUGCUUCGACGAACAAUCUGCUCGAUCUUGAAGAGAAUUCUGAAAUUUGUUCUUGUUGAAGUUAUGCCAAGUAAAAAAUCGUGCUUUGGAAGGAGCUAAUUGGUCUGCUGAAUUUUCUACGACUCCAGGC
This is a long non-coding RNA of Apis cerana (Asiatic honeybee), 1156 nucleotides long. RefSeq lists it as uncharacterized. Lineage: Eukaryota; Metazoa; Arthropoda; Insecta; Hymenoptera; Apidae. The record is from RefSeq and is a predicted model, not a curated record.